CAGCGACGGGAAAGGAGUUUAGUGACGCGUGGCUGAUUGGGGGGGGGACAGCUUUUGUUGUUGUUGUUGUUGUUACUGUUACUGUAUUAUUCUCGGCAUCCAUUGGGUAUGGAUUUGAGUAUGGAUCAGAUAUGGGGGGUGGGGGUAGAUUUCCCAAACCACAUGUUGUUAGUUUAAAUGGUUUUUGUUGCGAUCAUCAAAUAUUUUCAAGGAUCUUCCUAAUAAAGUGAAACGCCUGAAGCAGAAUCUGGGCAAAAAGAUAGAUCGGAAUGUCUACUUUUAUGAUUAAAUUAAUUUGUUCGGAUAUGUAUGCGCGGUAUAGUAUGUUUUACCUGAGCAUGUUUACGCAAAAGCAAGCCAAUUCCUUUAAGGGCUUUAUUCGCUGGCCUGAGUGUUUAGGAUUGGGAUAUGAGCCACUUUGCCCGCAUCUUAGAGUGAGUGUCUGGGGUGAAUGCCGGGACACAGCUCUGCUAAGGCCUCUCUUGCUGUUCAUACUGAGGAAGAUGGAGUCAAAAAGCCUUUCACCUGUGUCUUUGCUCCUAUGGGAAAGUGAGUCACUCACUAUGCCUAUGUUGCUUGGCCCUUCUAGUUUUGUUAAAAAAUUGCGGCCCACCAGGUUCUUAAGCACCCUUAUAUGGAAGCUGAUAUUCAACCAAUUUCUAACCUCCCCUUCUUGGGCAAGAUGUUGGAGAGUGUAGUGCAGCCUCAGCUCCAGGCAGCCCUGCAUAAAUCUGAUUACUUAGAUCCUUUCCAGUCUGACAUCCAGCCUGGAUUCAGGACGGAAACCGUCUUGGUCACCCUGGUGGUUGGCCUACACCGAGAGACAGACAGAGGGAGUUUGACUCUGUUGAUUCUCCUGGACCUCUCAGCAUUUUCCAUACCAUCAACCAUGGUAUCAUUCUGGGUCUCUCUGGGUUGGGACUUGAGGGCACCAUCGUACGUUUGCUCUGGUCCUGCCUUGAAGGUCAUACUCAGAAGGUGCUGCUGGGGGCCGCCUGCUUCACAACUUGGCUUUUGACCUAUGGGGUGCCGCAGGGAUCCAUUCCGUCCCAUUUACUGUUUAACAUCUACACGGAGUUCUUCACACAGCAGGCUUUACCACAAGUUUUCUGCGAGGCUUUACUGCGAACACGACGUUGUGCCAAAAAAAAAAAAAAAACAGAUGCAAAAAGUGGAUUGUUUUACCCCGUAUAUAAAUUGGACUGCACUUGAUUUUUUCACUCAAUGCAAUGAAAACCCAAAAUUUGUUGCAGUAGUAAUAGUGUACAGAAGUGUUUUUUACCAGCUACAGCUGGUACACCAGCUGCAACCCUACUGAAGAAGUUUGACCUGACCUUAGACACUCAUGCUUUGGUGGUCCAGACUGGAUUACUGCAAUGCAUGGGGCUGCCCUUGAAGAUGGUUUGGAAGCUUCAGCUGGUCUAGAAUGCUGCUGCUAGGAUGUUCAUGGGUGCAAGUCCAUGAGUGUUACUCCCAUCCUAUGGUAGCUUCACUGGUUAUCAGUCUGCUUCUGGGCUAGAUUCAAGCUGCUGCUCUUAACCUUUAAAGCCUUACACAGCUUGGGACCAGGGUAUUCGCCCACAUGCACUUGCAUUCGCCCACAUGCACUUGCCAGGGCCCUUCAUUCAGUAUCCUGGCCCCUGCUCAUGGCUCCUCCACUAGCUGAGAUCUGGCUGGCAGAGACUAGAGGCAGGGCCUUUUCAGUUGUGGCCCCUCAACUUUGGAACAGCCUCCCAUAAGAGCUUUGCCAUACUCUCUCUCUCUCUCUCUCUCUCUCUCUCUCUGUGUUUUCAAGAAACAACUGAAGACGCAUCUUUUUAGAGAGGCUUUUAAAUAUUAUCCUCUGCUUUUCUCUGAUAGGUUUCUUGGUGUUUAGCUUUUUAAAAUAACUUUUAAUUUCAAUUUUUAAAAUGUCUUAUUUUAAUUGUGGUUUUAGCCUGGUCGGUUAAAUGCUUGACUAACAAGCAGAAGGUUGCCGGUUCGAAGCCCCGCUGGUAUGUUUCCCAGACUAUGGGAAACAUCUAUAUUGGGCAGCAGUGAUAUAGGAAGGUGCUGAAAGGUAUAAUAUCUUACUGUGCAGGAGAAGGCAAUGGUAAACUCCUCCUGUAUUCUACCAAAGAAAACCACAGGGCUCUAUGGGCGCCAGGAGUCAAAAUUGACUCGACGGCACACCUUAACUUAUUAUCCUUAUUAAUUUUAUCCUUUAUUGUAUCUAUUUUAUUAAUGUUGUAAGAUGCCCCAAACAGUAGUGCACUGAAAGGGUGGGGUUUCAAUAUUUAUAAUAAUAAUAAUAAUAAUAAUAAUAAUAAUAAUAAUAAUAACAACAACUAAAGUAAUCCACUGAAAUGAUGGACAGUUCAAAGAGAUGCACUGAAUAUCACUAUACAGUGUGGAAAACAACCAUGCACAAUUUUCAGAGAAAUCUGCUUAACUUCUAUUGAGUUCAGUGUAUUUAAAUGCACAAUUAAGCUAUAUUCUAUUAUUCCCAUUUAGCUGUGAGCCUAAAUUUCUUUGGAUUGUGCUCUGUUUAAUAUAAUGUAAAUUCAAAGUGCCUGAAAUACAUUACAAGCAGUGCUGUUCUACAAUUGGGGGCUAUGCUGGGGGCCAGAGAUGUACGUACGAGUUCUAGUUUGCUGACAUUCAGGAAGUAAUGCAAGACUUUUCUUUUUUAAAUGACUGAUUAUAGCAGUAUAGAGUGGUUGCAUCUUUUUCAUCUUGCCUAUGUGGAUUGUUAAUUAUUCAUUAUGUCUUUUUGUUAUGUACAUGUACCCAAAUGCUUUUGGGCAAUUUUAUUGUAAACCUAAAUAAUGCAUUGAGUGAAUCUUUUGUAAAUUCAAAUCUUAAGAAUAAUGUAUGUGGUUAUUCCAACUUAAAUAACAUGCAAAGGAAAAUAAGUUAAAAGUUGAAUUAAAUGAAUUACCCCUGCUAACUGGGCAAAGAGACACCUUUUAACAUGGUGAUUCUCUUUAGGGGGAGAGUAGGUGGCCCUAUCCACCUCCAGAACAGUACUUCCAGUGACUGUUGCUGGUGUCUUAUCUUAUGUUUCUUUUUAGAUUGUGAGCCCUUUGGGGACAGGGAUCCAUCUUAUUUAUUUGUUAUAUCUCUGUGUAAACCACCUUAAACCAUUUUUGAAAGGACAGUAUAGAAAUAGAAUUAAUUAAUGGAUUGAUUGAUUAAGUAUGCUAGAUAAUUAAACAAAGCCUGACAUUAUAUUGCAUAUCACAAUAGAUGCAUUAAAGAUUAAAGGGAAAUAUUA
Long non-coding RNA from Hemicordylus capensis (graceful crag lizard), 3256 nucleotides. RefSeq lists it as uncharacterized. The record is from RefSeq and is a predicted model, not a curated record. NCBI's taxonomy places the organism in Eukaryota, Metazoa, Chordata, Lepidosauria, Squamata, Cordylidae. The transcript is spliced from 2 exons.